AGCGAACGCUGGCGGCAGGCCUAACACAUGCAAGUCGAGCGCCCCGCAAGGGGAGCGGCGGACGGGUGAGUAACGCGUGGGAACGUACCCUUUGCUACGGAAUAGCCUCGGGAAACUGGGAGUAAUACCGUAUGUGCCCUUCGGGGGAAAGAUUUAUCGGCAAAGGAUCGGCCCGCGUUGGAUUAGGUAGUUGGUGGGGUAAUGGCUUACCAAGCCGACGAUCCAUAGCUGGUUUGAGAGGAUGAUCAGCCACACUGGGACUGAGACACGGCCCAGACUCCUACGGGAGGCAGCAGUGGGGAAUCUUAGACAAUGGGCGCAAGCCUGAUCUAGCCAUGCCGCGUGAGCGAUGAAGGCCUUAGGGUUGUAAAGCUCUUUCAGUGGGGAAGAUAAUGACUGUACCCACAGAAGAAGCCCCGGCUAACUCCGUGCCAGCAGCCGCGGU
Molecule: ribosomal RNA, 445 nt
Filed under: uncultured bacterium
Lineage: Bacteria
Description: bacterial SSU rRNA
Rfam family: Bacterial small subunit ribosomal RNA
Source: RNAcentral